This 497-nucleotide ribosomal RNA is filed under the name uncultured bacterium. RNAcentral's name for it is "partial 16S ribosomal RNA". It matches the Rfam family "Bacterial small subunit ribosomal RNA", at positions 28 to 507 of the family's 1533-position model. The record is from RNAcentral.
GAUGAACGCUGGCGGCGUGCCUAAUACAUGCAAGUCGAGCGAACGGACGAGAAGCUUGCUUUUCUGAUGUUAGCGGCGGACGGGUGAGUAACACGUGGAUAACCUACCUAUAAGACUGGGAUAACUUCGGGAAACCGGAGCUAAUACCGGAUAAUAUUUUGAACCGCAUGGUUCAAAAGUGAAAGACGGUCUUGCUGUCACUUAUAGAUGGAUCCGCGCUGCAUUAGCUAGUUGGUAAGGUAACGGCUUACCAAGGCAACGAUGCAUUGCCGACCUGAGAGGGUGAUCGGCCACACUGGAACUGAGACACGGUCCAGACUCCUACGGGAGGCAGCAGUAGGGAAUCUUCCGCAAUGGGCGAAAGCCUGACGGAGCAACGCCGCGUGAGUGAUGAAGGUCUUCGGAUCGUAAAACUCUGUUAUUAGGGAAGAACAUAUGUGUAAGUAACUGUGCACAUCUUGACGGCACCUAAUCAGAAAGCCACGGCUAACUACGUG